GAUGAACGCUGGCGGCGUGCCUAAUACAUGCAAGUCGAGCGAACGGACGAGAAGCUUGCUUCUCUGAUGUUAGCGGCGGACGGGUGAGUAACACGUGGAUAACCUACCUAUAAGGCUGGGAUAACUUCGGGAAACCGGAGCUAAUACCGGAUGAUAUUUUGAACCGCAUGGUUCAAAAGUGAAAGACGGUCUUGCUGUCACUUAUAGAUGGAUCCGCGCUGCAUUAGCUAGUUGGUAAGGUAACGGCUUACCAAGGCAACGAUGCAUAGCCGACCUGAGAGGGUGAUCGGCCACACUGGAACCGAGACACGGUCCAGACUCCUACGGGAGGCAGCAGUAGGGAAUCUUCCGCAAUGGGCGAAAGCCUGACGGAGCAACGCCGCGUGAGUGAUGAAGGUCUUCGGAUCGUAAAACUCUGUUAUUAGGGAAGAACAUAUGUGUAAGUAACUGUGCACAUCUUGACGGUACCUAAUCAGAAAGCCACGGCUAACUACGUG
RNAcentral lists this ribosomal RNA (497 nucleotides) under uncultured bacterium. RNAcentral describes it as "partial 16S ribosomal RNA". It matches the Rfam family "Bacterial small subunit ribosomal RNA", at positions 28 to 507 of the family's 1533-position model. The record is from RNAcentral.